Molecule: ribosomal RNA, 496 nt
Filed under: uncultured bacterium
Lineage: Bacteria
Description: partial 16S ribosomal RNA
Rfam family: Bacterial small subunit ribosomal RNA
Source: RNAcentral
GAUGAACGCUGGCGGCGUGCCUAAUACAUGCAAGUCGAGCGAACAGACGAGGAGCUUGCUCCUCUGACGUUAGCGGCGGACGGGUGAGUAACACGUGGAUAACCUACCUAUAAGACUGGGAUAACUUCGGGAAACCGGAGCUAAUACCGGAUAAUAUAUUGAACCGCAUGGUUCAAUAGUGAAAGACGGUUUUGCUGUCACUUAUAGAUGGAUCCGCGCCGCAUUAGCUAGUUGGUAAGGUAACGGCUUACCAAGGCAACGAUGCGUAGCCGACCUGAGAGGGUGAUCGGCCACACUGGAACUGAGACACGGUCCAGACUCCUACGGGAGGCAGCAGUAGGGAAUCUUCCGCAAUGGGCGAAAGCCUGACGGAGCAACGCCGCGUGAGUGAUGAAGGUCUUCGGAUCGUAAAACGCUGUUAUUAGGGAAGAACAAAUGUGUAAGUAACGAUGCACGUCUUGACGGUACCGAAUCAGAAAGCCACGGCUAACUACGU